This 437-nucleotide ribosomal RNA is filed under the name uncultured bacterium. Its description in RNAcentral is "bacterial SSU rRNA". It matches the Rfam family "Bacterial small subunit ribosomal RNA", at positions 338 to 792 of the family's 1533-position model. The record is from RNAcentral.
CCUACGGGUCGCACCAGUGGGGAAUUUUCCGCAAUGGGCGAAAGCCUGACGGAGCAAUGCCGCGUGUGUGAAGAAGGUCUUCGGAUUGUAAAGCACUUUCGACGGGGACGAUGAUGACGGUACCCGUAGAAGAAGCCCCGGCCAACUUCGUGCCAGCAGCCGCGGUAAUACGAAGGGGGCUAGCGUUGCUCGGAAUGACUGGGCGUAAAGGGCGCGUAGGCGGUUUAUGCAGUCAGAUGUGAAAUCCCCGGGCUUAACCUGGGAACUGCAUUUGAGACGCAUAGACUAGAGGUCGAGAGAGGGUUGUGGAAUUCCCAGUGUAGAGGUGAAAUUCGUAGAUAUUGGGAAGAACACCGGUGGCGAAGGCGGCAACCUGGCUCGAUACUGACGCUGAGGCGCGAAAGCGUGGGGAGCAAACAGGAUUAGAUACCUUAGUC